UUCAUAGGCAGUAUAUCUGGAACAAGUUUUUAUGUGAUUUAGUCUUGUGCCCAGCAGUUUUGUGUUAAAAACACUUUUCCUUUCACUUUUGGACAGAGGCAGCGGUGACAACGGUGGAACAAAAGUGACUGUGUCGAGCAUUGAUCAUGGCAUUAUCAUGGGACAACUGGAUGACCGGACUGGGAUAUGAUCCAAAGGGCUUCAGUGUUGUCAAACGCUAUGAUGAAGAAUACUAUGGAAAAUCUGCGAUUGGAGAUCUCUUUAUCGUGAAAACAAAAUUCACAUGCCUCUAUCAUGCUGGCAUGUUCUAUGAUGAAGAUCUGAUUGUUCAUUUCUUAAUGAAUCACAGUCCACAUGAGGAGAGGCACAGCUCAAGGAGCUUAUUGACUGUCUCUUCUAGUUCCAGUUCCAUUCCAGGUCUUAUACAAAUUGUGCCUGUGGACGUGUUUUCUGGAGGACAAAAAUUUACAAUUUACAGGAAGAAAGAUGAAAUCGAUGUACAAUCAUUUAAAGUGUAUGUUAGAAAACGAAUGAAGGAAAAACCAAAGUAUAAUCUUUUGAACUCCAACUGCAUUCAUUUUGCCAUGGACUGUCUUGGGCUGACGGCAAAGAAGUGUUGAUCUUAAACCCUCUUUAAUCCUGAUCAACUGACUGGAUGUUGUUGCUGUUGGACGGACAGACGGGUCACACCUCUGAUGACCACAGAGUAGAUUUCAUUCUGUUUUACAUGUUAAAGGGUUUCAUCAACAUUAUUUCUGCUGUAUUUGCUCUACAAACACAAUAAAUUUCAUUUGACUAUUA
This is a long non-coding RNA of Tachysurus fulvidraco (yellow catfish), 801 nucleotides long. RefSeq lists it as uncharacterized. The transcript is spliced from 6 exons. Lineage: Eukaryota; Metazoa; Chordata; Actinopteri; Siluriformes; Bagridae. The record is from RefSeq and is a predicted model, not a curated record.